This 336-nucleotide unclassified non-coding RNA is filed under the name soil metagenome. RNAcentral's name for it is "partial contains 5.8S ribosomal RNA, internal transcribed spacer 2, and large subunit ribosomal RNA". The stretch from base 1 to 120 matches the Rfam family "5.8S ribosomal RNA", at positions 35 to 154 of the family's 154-position model. The record is from RNAcentral.
GAUGAAGAACGUAGCGAAAUGCGAUAAGUAGUGUGAAUUGCAGAAUUCAGUGAAUCAUCGAAUCUUUGAACGCACAUUGCGCCCCUUGGUAUUCCAAGGGGCAUGCCUGUUCGAGCGUCAUUUGUACCUUCAAGCUUUGCUUGGUGUUGGGUGUUUGUCUCGCCUUUGCGUGUAGACUCGCCUUAAAAUAAUUGGCAGCCGGCGUAUUGAUUUCGGAGCGCAGUACAUCUCGCGCUUUGCACUCAUAACGACAGCGUCCAAAAGUACAUUUUACACUCUUGACCUCGGAUCAGGUAGGGAUACCCGCUGAACUUAAGCAUAUCAAUAAGCGGAGGA